CAUGAGUGGCGGACGGGUGAGUAACGCGUGGGCAACCUGGCCUGUACAGGGGGAUAACACUUAGAAAUAGGUGCUAAUACCGCAUAACGGGGGAAGCCGCAUGGCUUUUCCCUGAAAACUCCGGUGGUACAGGAUGGGCCCGCGUCUGAUUAGCCAGUUGGCAGGGUAACGGCCCACCGAGGCGACGAUGCGUAGGGGUUCUGAGAGGAAGGUCCCCCACACUGGUACUGAGACACGGACCAGACUCCUACGGGAGGCAGCAG
Molecule: ribosomal RNA, 263 nt
Filed under: uncultured bacterium
Lineage: Bacteria
Description: partial 16S ribosomal RNA
Rfam family: Bacterial small subunit ribosomal RNA
Source: RNAcentral